CUCUAAGGGAAAACGUCCAAUGAAUGUAAGCAGAGAACACAUCCAUCCUUUUAGAGAGGUCGCGGCGGAACUACUUCCGGAUCCUAGAGAGCGUUUAUUCCGUGACCGGGGAAACGGUAGCCAUGGCAACGUGUUCUUCACCCUUUCCCAUCUAUGCCUGGGGUUUCGUUGGAAGUGAUUCCAGCACGACUUUCGCGGCCAGCUUUCUCGUGUGGCGGCGCUUCUCGGAAAGAAGAAACACACGAGAGAGUCCUAACUUAAACUGGAUUGUUUUUCAACUCUGAUCUGUCCCCUGGUUGGCAUCUCUCACCUUCCAAUACCAAUAAGAAACAAUUUUCAAGAAAGAUUUCCACCUGUUCAUAGCAAACAUAAUUGGGAGGAAGAUUAGAAGCAGUGGGGGUCGGUGGCUGUGCUAGGAUGAAAAUUGUGAUAUUUUAUGCAUAGUGUUGUCCCCAAGCAAAGAGAAAUGAGCCAGAAGACAAAUGAGAAUGUAGAAAGGUAUACCCAAUUCCUUCAAAAGCCCCAGAAACCCAUUCAGCCUUACAUCUGCUCGACUCUGAAUGAUUUUCAAGAAGAGAGAGACUUUUUGGCAAACAACAUCUUCCCUCAGCUUAAUGAACUCUGCAAUUCCUGGGGCACAUAUUUCAAAGCCGUGGACCUGAGUUGGUCAGCAUUAAAGGCCCCGAAAUCCUUACCCACCCACCUGUUUAGACAGUAUUCUUGUCUUCGCUCCCAACGUCUGAAGCUCUGCCUUGACUAUGUGAACAGCUGCUUUCCCUUUUUCAUCUGCAUGCUGGGUCAGACGUAUGGAGACUUCCUCCCUGACUACUCACAUUUCAUGACCUCCAAAGUGACUCGCUUGUCAAGCUUAUCCAAAGUAGAAUAGAAUCUCUAUGUUGCUGCCAAAAACGGUUAUCCUUGGGUUCUGGAGAACCCCAGCUGCAGUCUGACGGAGUUUGAGAUAAUCCAAGCAGCAUUUCUGAAUGAAUCUCAAUUUCAGUAUUUUUACUUUAGGACUGGAACCACACUGCUGAAGGCUUUAGAUGAUGAGAAAAAGGGAGAGAGGCUGCCCUCAAGUUCUUCAACCAACGAAGAGGAAACAUUGAGGAUUGGAAAGCUUAAGGCCAAGAUUAUUAGUAAAGGGCUCCCUGUGAGAUUUUAUAGUGAUCUCCACGAGUUGGGUGAGCUGGUUUUUAAGGACUGGUCAGUUGUGAUAGAAAAACUUCAUCCAGCCACUUUAAUGAUUGAAAAUAUAGGUUAGUAAAUAUAGAGAUAACUAAGUCCAUUAUCAACAUAAAGGUAAUGUUUUUAUAGGUCUUCCUUGUGAAAGGAAUUUUUAAAUGAUUGCAAAUGUUCCUUAAGCAUUUAAAAA
Long non-coding RNA from Homo sapiens (human), 1372 nucleotides. The record is from Ensembl. Lineage: Eukaryota; Metazoa; Chordata; Mammalia; Primates; Hominidae.